GAUGAAGAACGUAGCGAAAUGCGAUACUUGCUGUGAAUUGCAGAAUCCCGUGAACCAUCGAGUCUUUGAACGCAAGUUGCGCCCGAAGCCAUUAGGCCGAGGGCACGCCUGCCUGGGCGUCACACGUCGUUGCCCCCCCCAUCUACUCCUUCGGGAUUGCGGGGGGCGGAUGAUGGCCUCCCGUGCGCCUCGCCGCGCGGUUGGCAUAAAUGCCAAGUCCUCGGCGACGCACGCCACGACAAUCGGUGGUUGCGAAACCUCGGUUGCCCGUCGUGUGCGGUCGUCGCGCAUCGAGGGCUCGAAAAAAUUGCCGAGUUCCGGCUCGGCUUUCAACGCGACCCCAGGUCAGGCGGGGGUACCCGCUGAAUUUAAGCAUAUCAAUAAGCGGAGGA
Molecule: unclassified non-coding RNA, 392 nt
Filed under: soil metagenome
Description: partial contains 5.8S ribosomal RNA, internal transcribed spacer 2, and large subunit ribosomal RNA
Rfam family: 5.8S ribosomal RNA (bases 1-122)
Source: RNAcentral